GAUGAACGCUGGCGGCGUGCCUAAUACAUGCAGGUCGAGCGAACAGACGAGGAGCUUGCUCCUCUGACGUUAGCGGCGGACGGGUGAGUAACACGUGGAUAACCUACCUAUAAGACUGGGAUAACUUCGGGAAACCGGAGCUAAUACCGGAUAAUAUAUUGAACCGCAUGGUUCAAUAGUGAAAGACGGUUUUGCUGUCACUUAUAGAUGGAUCCGCGCCGCAUUAGCUAGUUGGUAAGGUAACGGCUUACCAAGGCAACGAUGCGUAGCCGACCUGAGAGGGUGAUCGGCCACACUGGAACUGAGACACGGUCUAGACUCCUACGGGAGGCAGCAGUAGGGAAUCUUCCGCAAUGGGCGAAAGCCUGACGGAGCAACGCCGCGUGAGUGAUGAAGGUCUUCGGAUCGUAAAACUCUGUUAUUAGGGAAGAACAAAUGUGUAAGUAACUAUGCACGUCUUGACGGUACCUAAUCAGAAAGCCACGGCUAACUACGUG
This 497-nucleotide ribosomal RNA is filed under the name uncultured bacterium. RNAcentral describes it as "partial 16S ribosomal RNA". It matches the Rfam family "Bacterial small subunit ribosomal RNA", at positions 28 to 507 of the family's 1533-position model. The record is from RNAcentral.